UACGGGGGGGGCAAGCGUUGUUCGGAUUUACUGGGCGUAAAGGGCGCGUAGGCGGCCAGCACAAGUCAGUUGUGAAAUCUCCGAGCUUAACUCGGAAAGGUCAACUGAUACUGUGCGGCUAGAGUGCGGAAGGGGCAACUGGAAUUCUCGGUGUAGCAGUGAAAUGCGUAGAUAUGCGGAGGAACACCGAUGGCGAAGGCAAUCCCCUGGGCCUGCACUGACGCUCAUGCACGAAAGCGUGGGGAGCAAACAGG
RNAcentral lists this ribosomal RNA (254 nucleotides) under uncultured bacterium. Its description in RNAcentral is "partial 16S ribosomal RNA". It matches the Rfam family "Bacterial small subunit ribosomal RNA", at positions 524 to 776 of the family's 1533-position model. The record is from RNAcentral.